GGGUGAUAAAGAAGUGUUUCCAUGGCAACUUUCCAGCAUUAUUGAUGUGUCCAACAAUUGAUAUAGAGCCCCUCCAAUGCGAUUCAAUGUUUCUAUGGUAACUGCUAUGCAGAAUCUGUUCAAGUUUUGAGGGAAUCAGGAAAAGUAACAGGUCUUCUGUUUAAACUUGUGGGAGAAGGAAACAGCUUCGGUACAUUACCAGACCUGAAUAAAAAAGUUGUUGAAAGAAC
Molecule: long non-coding RNA, 230 nt
Organism: Xenia sp. Carnegie-2017
Lineage: Eukaryota; Metazoa; Cnidaria; Anthozoa; Malacalcyonacea; Xeniidae
Exons: 3
Source: RefSeq, a predicted model, not a curated record